GGCGAACGGGUGCGUAACACGUGAGAAACCUGCCCCGUGACUUGGGAAUAACAGUCGGAAACGACUGCUAAUACCGAAUAUCUCCGUAGCGUCUGCAUGGCGCAUCGAAGAAAGCUUUUUGCGGUCUGGGAGGGUCUCGCGGCCUAUCAGCUAGUUGGUGAGGUAACGGCUCACCAAGGCAUCGACGGGUAGCUGGUCUGAGAGGAUGAUCAGCCACACUGGGACUGAGACACGGCCCAGACUCCUACGGGAGGCAGCAGUGGGGAAUAUUGCACAAUGGGCGAAAGCCUGAUGCAGCAACGCCGCGUGCGGGAAGAAGGCCUUAGGGUUGUAAACCGGUUUCAGCAGGGAAGAAACUGACGGUACCUGCAGAAGAAGGUGCGGGCAACUACGUGCCAGCAGCCGCGG
This 408-nucleotide ribosomal RNA is filed under the name uncultured bacterium. RNAcentral's name for it is "bacterial SSU rRNA". It matches the Rfam family "Bacterial small subunit ribosomal RNA", at positions 97 to 520 of the family's 1533-position model. The record is from RNAcentral.